GACGAACGCUGGCGGCGUGCUUAACACAUGCAAGUCGAACGGUAAGGCCCUUCGGGGUACACGAGUGGCGAACGGGUGAGUAACACGUGGGUGAUCUGCCCUGCACUUCGGGAUAAGCCUGGGAAACUGGGUCUAAUACCGGAUAGGACCACUGCCUGCAUGGGUGGUGGUGGAAAGCUUUUGCGGUGUGGGAUGGGCCCGCGGCCUAUCAGCUUGUUGGUGGGGUGAUGGCCUACCAAGGCGACGAGGGGUAGCCGGCCUGAGAGGGUGACCGGCAACACGGGGACGGAGAGAGGGCGCAGACUCCUGCGGGAGGCAGCAGUGGGGAAUAGUGGACAAUGGGCGCAAGCCUGAUGCGGCGACGCCGCGUGAGGGAUGACGGCCUUCGGGUUGUAAACCUCUUUCAGCACCGACGAAGCGCAAGUGACGGUAGGUGCAGAAGAAGGACCGGCCAACUACGUGCCAGCCGCCGCAGUAA
RNAcentral lists this ribosomal RNA (478 nucleotides) under uncultured bacterium. RNAcentral describes it as "partial 16S ribosomal RNA". It matches the Rfam family "Bacterial small subunit ribosomal RNA", at positions 28 to 523 of the family's 1533-position model. The record is from RNAcentral.